Molecule: ribosomal RNA, 253 nt
Filed under: uncultured bacterium
Lineage: Bacteria
Description: partial 16S ribosomal RNA
Rfam family: Bacterial small subunit ribosomal RNA
Source: RNAcentral
UACGUAGGGUGCAAGCGUUGUCCGGAAUUAUUGGGCGUAAAGAGCUCGUAGGCGGUUUGUCGCGUCGAAUGUGAAAACCCGGGGCUCAACCCCGGGCCUGCAUUCGAUACGGGCAGACUAGAGUUCGGUAGGGGAGUCUGGAAUUCCUGGUGUAGCGGUGAAAUGCGCAGAUAUCAGGAGGAGCACCGGUGGCGAAGGCGGGACUCUGGGCCGAUACUGACGCUGAGGAGCGAAAGCGUGGGGAGCAAACAGG